Molecule: ribosomal RNA, 491 nt
Filed under: uncultured bacterium
Lineage: Bacteria
Description: partial 16S ribosomal RNA
Rfam family: Bacterial small subunit ribosomal RNA
Source: RNAcentral
AGUGAACGCUGGCGGUAGGCCUAACACAUGCAAGUCGAACGGCAGCACAGUAAGAGCUUGCUCUUACGGGUGGCGAGUGGCGGACGGGUGAGGAAUACAUCGGAAUCUACUUUUUCGUGGGGGAUAACGUAGGGAAACUUACGCUAAUACCGCAUACGACCUACGGGUGAAAGCAGGGGAUCUUCGGACCUUGCGCGAUUGAAUGAGCCGAUGUCGGAUUAGCUAGUUGGCGGGGUAAAGGCCCACCAAGGCGACGAUCCGUAGCUGGUCUGAGAGGAUGAUAGGCCACACUGGAACUGAGACACGGUCCAGACGCCUACGGGAGGCAGCAGUGGGGAAUAUUGGACAAUGGGCGCAAGCCUGAUCCAGCCAUACCGCGUGGGUGAAGAAGGCCUUCGGGUUGUAAAGCCCUUUUGUUGGGAAAGAAAAGCAGCAGGUUAAUACCCCGCUGUUCUGACGGUACCCAAAGAAUAAGCACCGGCUAACUUCGU